RNAcentral lists this long non-coding RNA (383 nucleotides) under Rattus norvegicus (Norway rat). RNAcentral describes it as "long non-coding RNA NONRATT030207". Lineage: Eukaryota; Metazoa; Chordata; Mammalia; Rodentia; Muridae. The record is from RNAcentral.
GACAGAGGUAAGACUGCUUUCUCUUCUAUUUACUAGAAAGUUCUUAAUUGCGUAUCUCUUCCUGUUUUCCCAGAUGAGAGGAAAAAGAUCGUUGGCAAGCUUAUAUUGAUAGACUAACCGGACAACCUGCUGCUUUUCAGGAAAAUUUUAAGACAUGGCUGAAUCGAAGGCUUACCGAUUUGGAGCAGUUCUGCUUCUUAUCCACUUAAUUUUCCUUGUCCCUGGAACCGAAGCAGCUUCCUUCCAGCGAAACCAGCUGCUUCAGAAAGAACCAGACCUCAGAUUGGAGAAUGUCCAGAAGUUUCCUAGUCCAGAAAUGAUCAGGGCUUUGGAGUACAUAGAAAAGCUCAGGCAGCAGGCCCACAGAGAAGAAAGCAGCCCAG